UUCCGGUUGAUCCUGCCGCCGGCCACUGCUAUCAGGUUUCGAUUAAGCCAUGCGAGUCAAGGGGUCGUAAGACACCGGCAUACCGCUCAGUAACACGCGGAUAAUCUGCCCCCAGGUGAGGGAUAACUUCGGGAAACUGAGGCUAAUACCUUAUAGUCACUUUAUGCUGGAAUGCUUAGGUGAUGAAAGUUCCGACGCCUGAGGAUGAGUCUGCGGCCUAUCAGGUAGUAUGUGGUGUAAAGGACCACAUAGCCGAGGACGGGUACGGGCCCUGAAAGGGGGAGCCCGGAGAUGGACUCUGAGACAUUAGUCCAGGCCCUACGGGGCGCAGCAGGCGCGAAAACUGUGCAAUGCGCGAAAGCGCGACACGGGAAACCUGAGUGCCUUGACUUUUGUCAAGGCUUUUCUUAGGCCUAAAAAGCCUAAGGAAUAAGAGCUGGGUAAGACGGGUGCCAGCCGCCGCGGUAACACCCGCAGCUCGAGUGGUGGUCACUUUUAUUGAGCCUAAAGCGUUCGUAGCCGGCUCUGUAAAUCUUCAGACAAAUUCUUCUGCUUAACGGAAGAUCCUCUGGAGAGACUGCAGAGCUAGGGACCGGGUGAGGUUGAAGGUACUUCUGGGGUAGGGGUAAAAUCCUGUAAUCCUGGAAGGACGACCGGUGGCGAAGGCGUUCAACUAGAACGGAUCCGACGGUGAGGAACGAUGGCUAGGGGAGCAAACCGGAUUAGAUACCCGGGUAGUCCUAGCUGUAAACACUGCCCACUUGGUGUUGCUUCUCCGAUUAAGGGGGAGCAGUGCCGGAGCGAAGAUGUUAAGUGGGCCGCUUGGGGAGUAUGGUCGCAAGGCUGAAACUUAAAGGAAUUGGCGGGGGAGCACCGCAACGGGAGGAGCGUGCGGUUUAAUUGGAUUCAACGCCGGAA
Molecule: ribosomal RNA, 918 nt
Filed under: uncultured archaeon
Lineage: Archaea
Description: bacterial SSU rRNA
Rfam family: Archaeal small subunit ribosomal RNA
Source: RNAcentral